CGAGAAAAUAUCUCCCCUUCCCACCGCCCCCAAGGCUGUUUCGGUUUAGCUCGUGAGAAGAAGCGAAGAGGGGCCCGGCACCGCCCGCGAGCAGCGAGAGGAGGGCCCAAGGUGCGCCCGUCCCCCCGUCCCUCCCCUCCGGCUGGGUAAAGCCCGGGCGGGUCCGGUGGUUUUCGUUGCUACGACCACCUCCAGCGGGAUUCAGCGGAGGCCGUCGAGGAGCGCGUGACGCACCUCCUUCCCCCCUCUCUCUCUCCUUCCUUCCCUCCCUCCCUCCGCUCUCUUCUCCCGGAGAACAAAAGAAGAAUUCUUUGCACAGCAGGCUGUAUUGUGACUUCACAUAACAACUAGAGUUGCCCAGGAUUCAGGGAUUUGCAUGAUUGUACUUGUCAUAACCGGGUGUAUAGCUGCUUCAUAAAAUCUCUGAUUGUGGAAUGGAGCUCAGAAGGAAAACUCUGCAGUAACAUAAGAGGUUCAACAGGAUAUCUAGAUUGGUGUUAAGAAAUUCUUCCUUAAUAUAAUGACAGUCAUUUUUGCCUGUCCAGCAACAGAAAACAUCUCAAGGAUCAGACACCAAAAGUAUCUCAAACCCACUUGAGAACCAGUGACCCAUAUGAACUAAAGCAAUUGGAAAACCAAUUCCAAUUUCUCAGAAUGGAUUUGGAAUUGCAGAAGGGGAAAAAUAUUUUAAAGUGGAAGUGGAGAGAGAGGAGGACAGAAUUGGAGUAUGAGGAACAAUUUCAAAGUUUGGAAUUGGAGAGAAUGAUGGAAUGAUGCUUAUCAGUUAAGUAAACAGAGGAACACCAAUCCAACAUUUCCCACUGCUGCUCCUACGGAAAACUGGCAAGUUUCCAAGGUGAAAUUAAAGCAGCUGAAGAAAGGAAGCCUGCUGUACAAGAGUAAAAAUAGAUCCGGCAGUUACUCAGCUCCUGAGAACAUCAUGGUAUGACUCAUGAGGUAGAAUAAAGAGAUGUGAAAAUCAAAAGCUGUUGCAUUCCCCCCCAAGCAUUACACACAUAUCCCCCCUCGCUUUUCCUCCUACCUGGAGAGGUUUGUGGCACCUCAAGUCUAAAAAAAACCCAAAGGAAAAUAAAUUGUUGAAGUUCCAGGUAAAAGCAACUGGGUUGGAAACCCCUAAAAUCUAUCCAUCGCCAGGCCUGGAAGCCAUCUUUUGCGUUGGGCCUUUAGGCCUGCCACAUUUAUUGCUGUGGGAAACUGGGAGGGGG
Molecule: long non-coding RNA, 1226 nt
Organism: Thamnophis sirtalis
Lineage: Eukaryota; Metazoa; Chordata; Lepidosauria; Squamata; Natricidae
Source: RefSeq, a predicted model, not a curated record